This 491-nucleotide ribosomal RNA is filed under the name uncultured bacterium. RNAcentral's name for it is "partial 16S ribosomal RNA". It matches the Rfam family "Bacterial small subunit ribosomal RNA", at positions 28 to 507 of the family's 1533-position model. The record is from RNAcentral.
GAUGAACGCUAGCUACAGGCUUAACACAUGCAAGUCGAGGGGAAACGCCAUUGAAGCUUGCUUCGAUGGUCGUCGACCGGCGCACGGGUGAGUAACGCGUAUCCAACCUGCCUCUGACCAAGGGAUAACCCGUCGAAAGUCGGCCUAAUACCUUAUGCAGUCGUCGGAAGUCAUCUGAUGACGACGAAAGAUUUCAUCGGUGAGAGAUGGGGAUGCGUCUGAUUAGCUUGUUGGCGGGGUAACGGCCCACCAAGGCAACGAUCAGUAGGGGUUCUGAGAGGAAGGUCCCCCACAUUGGAACUGAGACACGGUCCAAACUCCUACGGGAGGCAGCAGUGAGGAAUAUUGGUCAAUGGGCGAGAGCCUGAACCAGCCAAGUAGCGUGCAGGAGGACGGCCCUAUGGGUGGUAAACUGCUUUUAUGCGGGGAUAAAGUGAGGGACGUGUCCUUCAUUGCAGGUACCGCAUGAAUAAGGACCGGCUAAUUCCGUG